This 73-nucleotide transfer RNA is filed under the name Ixodes scapularis (black-legged tick). RNAcentral describes it as "tRNA-Ser for anticodon AGA". Lineage: Eukaryota; Metazoa; Arthropoda; Arachnida; Ixodida; Ixodidae. The record is from RNAcentral.
CCCUGGUUAGCGCAGUUGGCAGAGCGCUGCACUAGAGAUUGAGAGAUCCCUGGUUCGACACCAGGACCAGACG